CGGGCUCUGCUGUGGCCUAGGUCCAAGUGGAAGGGCAGCAAUCGAAGGAGCCGGGCCUAAGUUAGGGGAGGAGUGUGCUGGGCGUCCAGCCUCGCGCUCCCAGCAUGGAGUGGACCCUGUGGUUCUGGCUUGGGGGAGCUGCUGCCUUCCACAUUUCCAUGGACCCUUCUCCGGUGCUGGUCUCCCUAGGGUCAGAUGUGCUCCUGCAGUGCAUUUUCCCUGCAGUGGAUAUGGAUAUGCCAACUCCCACUGUGUCCUGGCACCAUGGCCAGUGGCGCUUGGCAGAAUAUGAUGGGAUCUUGGUGACCCAGCGUCCAGGCACAGAGCUGCCAGAAAGUGCAGAGGGCCUUCGGAAGGGUAAUGCUUCGCUUCUGCUCCGUCGUGUGGCUAUGGCAGAUCUGGGCUCUUACUACUGUACUGUGACAGUUGGGAAACAGCAGGCAGAAGCCGGAGUCCUUCUGGAGAUUUCAGCCAAACUUCUGGAGAGAGUUGGCCGUGAUGAUCAGCUGCUUUCCAAUAUCCAUCCUGCACCUGUUACAGCUUAACUGAAAUGGCUUCUUUUUCUUCAGAUGUAAUGUCUUUGUUUCAGUCUUCAACCUCUCAUAGUCUUCCCUCUAGUUUUUGACAUUUUGGACUCAUUCUUUUCCUUCUGGAUUUGUUCUGAUCUUUUUUUUCUUGGCUUUAAUGACACCACACUUUCCUGGUUCUCCUACUUUUCUAACCAUUCUUCUUAUUUCUUUCACUUAUUCCUGUUCUUUCUCCUACCUAUUUAAUGAAGGCAUUUCCCAAGACUGUUCCUGGCCUUCUCUUAUCCCAAAGUGAUUUCAUCCAAUGUUACUACUUUAACUGGCACAUUGAAAGGGGUUCGGAUGAUGACAUCAAAAUCUACAUCUGUCUUUUGGAUGCUCGGACCUCAAACUCAACAUAACUAAAAACACAGUUAUUAUCUUACCUAUAAAAUUUGUUCCUCCUGACUUCCCUAGCUAUUGAUGACACUUACCCAUUACAAUUAAUCAGUUACAAAAUCCUAUAGAUUUUAUCUUGGAAAUAGUUUUCCUGUCUGCCCCCACCCCCAAUGCCUGUUUUUCAUUUUUUUUUUUAUUGCUACCCUCUUAUUCUAGGCCCUUCGCAUUUCUCUUCUAGACUUACAAAAGCCUCCUAACCCCCUUGGCCUCGCUUCAGUCCAUCCUCCUCAUCCAUUGUGACCUGGUCCUGAUGUAGUGUCUGUCAUUCCAUUUCCCUGGUUCCUUUUGGCCUGUUUCAAUUGGCAGCAAAGUCUCAGUUCUUUAGACGAGUACUCAAAUCUUCCACAGUGGGGCUUCAAGCUCCCUUUUGCUUCUGACCAAAGAUGGUCUACUUAUCACUGCCAAUACAAAUUAUGUCCUGUAACUUUGUUGCUUUUGCUUAUUCCCUUCCCUUUCCAUCUUUCAUUGAAAAUCUACCUGUUCUUCAAAGCCCAGCUCAACAUUUUAUUCACUGUAUCUUUGUGUCUUUUCUAGCACAUAGUGCAGGGUUUUGCCCCACACUAGGUACUUACUAAGAAAGAGAGGCAUAAAAAAAGAUUUCUUUCCCUUUUUGGGAAAAUUAUAAUGAGGUCGUUUGGUGAGUAGGAUCAUAGACUUAGAGCUCAAAAGGAUUUUGGAAGUUGUAGAGUCUUAACACCUCAUUUAACUGAGAAGGAAAUGGAAACGUAGAGCUGUUAAGUGGUAAGUCCACUGUCCCACAGGCAGUAAAGUCAGGAGCCGAGUCUGGGUAUUUGAACCCAGACGCUCUGACUCUCUGCUUCAGGUAAUCAUUGUCCUUAGGAGCUAGGAAGGGCUACAGAGGGGAUAGGUCUGUCCUGUCAGCUGCCCUCAGUGUUUGUAGACCUCUUUAUUUUGUCCUAAAUACAUUGUCCACAUUUCCCCCUUUCUCAUGCUCUCAGCUACCUUUUUAGUUCUUCUGAUUAUAUAAAAUCAGAAGACUCUUUAGUAGCUUGGCCCUGAUUAAUGUAAUCGAAGAAAAGUUGGUAUAUAAUAAAAAAUUAUCUUAUAAUGUGAUUUUCCA
Vombatus ursinus (common wombat) is the source of this 2046-nucleotide long non-coding RNA. The record is from Ensembl. NCBI's taxonomy places the organism in Eukaryota, Metazoa, Chordata, Mammalia, Diprotodontia, Vombatidae.